UACGUAGGGGGCAACCGUUGUCCGGAUUUACUGGGGGUAAAGGGUGCUCAGGCGGUUUUGUAAGUCAGAAGUGAAAUCCUAGAGCUUAACUCUGGAACUGCUUUUGAUACUGCAAAGCUUGAAUGUGGAAGAGGAGGAUGGAAUUUCUGGUGUAGCAGUGAAAUGCGUAGAUAUCAGAAAGAACACCAGUGGCGAAGGCGAUCCUCUGGUCCAUUAUUGACGCUAAAGCACGAAAGCGUGGGGAGCAAACAGG
Molecule: ribosomal RNA, 253 nt
Filed under: uncultured bacterium
Lineage: Bacteria
Description: partial 16S ribosomal RNA
Rfam family: Bacterial small subunit ribosomal RNA
Source: RNAcentral